RNAcentral lists this ribosomal RNA (482 nucleotides) under Halorosellinia xylocarpi. Its description in RNAcentral is "SSU rRNA". It matches the Rfam family "Eukaryotic small subunit ribosomal RNA", at positions 53 to 542 of the family's 1831-position model. The record is from RNAcentral. Lineage: Eukaryota; Fungi; Ascomycota; Sordariomycetes; Xylariales; Xylariaceae.
GCAUGUCUAAGUAUAAGCAAUUAUACGCUGAGCUGUGAAUGGGGCUUUAAUCUCAUAUCUAUUAUUUGAUAUGCCUUACUACUUGGAUAACCGCGGUAAUUUUAGAGCUAAUACAUGCUAAAAAUCCCCACUCUCGAAGGGAUGUAUUUAUUAUAUUAAAAACCAAUGCCCCUUGGGGCUUAUAGGUGAUUCAUAAUAACUUCUCGAAUCGCAUGGCCUUGCGCCGGCGAUGGUUCAUUCAAAUUUCUGCCCUAUCAACUUUCGAUGGUAGGGUCUUGGCCUGCCAUGGUUUCAACGGGUAACGGAGGGUUAGGGAUCGACCCCGGAAAAGGAGCCUGAGAAACGGCUACUACAUCCAAGGAAGGCAGCAGGCGCGCAAAUUACCCAAUCCCCACACGGGGAGGUAGGGACAAUAAAUACUGAUACAGGGCUCUUUUGGGUCUUGUAAUUGGAAUGAGUACAAUUUAAAUCCCUUAACCAGG